GACGAACGCUGGCGGCGUGCUUAACACAUGCAAGUCGAACGGUGAAGGGACUGGUUUUGCUGGUCCUGGAUGAGUGGCGAACGGGUGAGUAACACGUGAGUAACCUGCCCCCUUCUUCUGGAUAACCGCAUGAAAGUGUGGCUAAUACGGGAUAUUCUGGGUCUGUCGCAUGGUGGGCCUGGGAAAGAUUGCGCCUUUUUUGGUGUUUUUGGUGGGGGAUGGGCUCGCGGCCUAUCAGCUUGUUGGUGGGGUGAUGGCCUACCAAGGCGGUGACGGGUAGCCGGCCUGAGAGGGUGGACGGUCACACUGGGACUGAGACACGGCCCAGACUCCUACGGGAGGCAGCAGUGGGGAAUAUUGCACAAUGGGCGCAAGCCUGAUGCAGCGACGCCGCGUGAGGGAUGGAGGCCUUCGGGUUGUGAACCUCUUUCGCCAGUGAAGCAGGCCUGCCUCUUUUUGUGGGUGGGUUGACGGUAGCUGGAGAAGAAGCGCCGGCUAACUACGUG
Molecule: ribosomal RNA, 506 nt
Filed under: uncultured bacterium
Lineage: Bacteria
Description: partial 16S ribosomal RNA
Rfam family: Bacterial small subunit ribosomal RNA
Source: RNAcentral